This 2162-nucleotide long non-coding RNA is filed under the name Ananas comosus (pineapple). RNAcentral's name for it is "long non-coding RNA (ACOM_LNC002005)". Lineage: Eukaryota; Viridiplantae; Streptophyta; Magnoliopsida; Poales; Bromeliaceae. The record is from RNAcentral.
GAUGAGAUGUGAUGGUGAUGGGUCGAACCAAAAAAGAUGAGGCGGGAUCGGCGGCUUUUGUGGACACGACGGUGAUGGGAGCAAAGAUGAUGACGAUGAGGGAGGGGAAGAGGUUGAGAGGUGUAUAGGAAAAAAGGUAGGCGGAGAGAGAAAUUGUGGAUAUAGAGUAAAGAAAGGGUUAAAAAAAUGAGAGAAAGAGAGAGAGAGAGAGAGAGAGAGAGAGAUGAGGUAGGUCUCACUAUUUUCAUGGAAUGCGAAGAGUCUCACUAUUUUCAAAGUUGCCAAUUGUAAGUUUAUAAAUUUUAUGGAUAAGACAAAUAUUUUGUUCUUUUUAGUAACGAGAUAUCCAAAUCAAUUCAUUUAAAAAUGAUCUAAUAUAUUUAAAUUAUCUAAAAAUAUAAAUUUUUAUUUUUUAAUAUUAUUUACCAAACUAUCAAAAAUUUUAGACAUAGAUAUCAUUUUGUAAUAUUCCGAACUCACCAUAACUCGUCGGUGAUGAGAUCGCUUUGAGACGCAGAUAGCGGUCGGGAAGAUGGUGCGGCUCGAAUUAGGGGAUUUGAGGUAAUUGAGUCAGAGAAAGACAGAAGAAGAGGAAUAAAGUGAAGAGAGAGAGAGAGAAUAGAGAAGUGAGGAUUGAGAAUAGAGUAGAGAGAGAUCAGUUUGGGAGAUUGGAGAGAUGAGGGGAUAAAGAAUAGAGGAGAGAGAAGAAGAUGAGAAACUCGAGAAGAAUAUAACAGUUUUUUUACCUUCAUUAGUUACACUUUGCUGUAUAUCUAUAAGUAUAAUAAAAGUUGGGUUAAAUCGAAGCCUCCCUGUGUUUGGCGGGGAGGGGGGGCUUCGGUGGGGCCCUCAUUUUUUUUCUCUCUCUUUCACUCUCUCUCUCUCUCUUACUUUCUUUUUUUUAUUUUUUUCCUCUCUCUCACUCUCUCUCUCUUACUUUCUUUUUUUUUUUCUCUCUCACUCUCUCUUUCUUACUUUCUUUUUUUUAUUUUUUUCUCUCUCAACAUUUUUUUAUUUUUUGCCUACAUCAAUUGUAAAAUUUUAUCGUAUGGAUCAAUUCUAUGUUUUAAUAGUCAAUAUAAAAAAAUUAAAUUUUUAUCUACUAAAUAUCAACAGUUUUUCUUUUUUAUUUUUAUUUAUAUCAAAUGUAAAAUUUUAUCAUAUAGAUCAAUUCUAUUUUUUAAUUGUUAAGAUAACAAAAUUAAAAUUUCAUCUAAUUGGGAACCCAAGUUCCUAUGGGGCCCAAAAAUUUUUUUAAGGAUCUUUUUAGGAUUAAUUGCAUAGUGCUGCCCAAACUUUUCACCCUUUUUUUAUUUUUGUUCCUUUUUUUUUUUGCAAUUAAGCUUUCAAACCUCUUAAAAAUCCUUGCGAUAAAAUAACAACCAUUAAAAAAUAUUUUAGAAUUAUCGAAAUUAUCAUGCCAUCGCCUAUUUAACGGUUUUUUUCAUGCCAAUUUUGAUCCCUAAAUUUUAUAUGCUUUUCACUUUAGUUCCCAAAACAUAUAUGAAUUGAUAACCCUAAAGAAGGCCUCUCCUUAUUUUGGAGGAUUGUGGGGCCCACACAUGUAAGGACUGAGAUUUUUACAGUGCAACUAAACUCUCUGUUGAUGAUGUUUAUGUGUAUAAUUUAAUUACAUAAGCACUCGUCAAGUUUCAGGAGAAAAUGAGCUAAAAUGGAGAAGUUACGUGAUUAUUAGUUUUCACUUCAGUGAAUAGUAACUCCGGUUUUUCGGUGAAGCCACGGAGUAGAGUUGGCUUUCUACACGUAUCGGACUCCGUUCAUAGCGAUCCAAUAGCUCGUUUCGACCGGUUCAGCUAUUCUGGAACUACUGGCGCUGACAGAUUUUGAGUUUGAUGCACGGAUUUCGAGAAAAUCCAAAAAUACAUGUUUUAUAUGUAUUUAUGUGUUAUUCCUUCUAUUGGAAAGAAAGAUUGGAUUUUGUCGUGAAUCCGUGGUCGAUCGUGGUGAAACGAAAUGGUAGCUUUGUUGUCUCCGUCGUGCUGAUCACACUGGUGCAAUCCAUUCGCAAAACUGACGGACGGAUCUGCGGAGAUCGCACGUUGAUCGAGGAGAGGUCGGUAAUGGUAAAAUGGUAAUUUCGCAAAAGUCGAGAUAUUUUAUGUACCAUUUCGCGUGAGAUCGCAUGUGGAGGGGUAUUCGUG